Long non-coding RNA from Cercocebus atys (sooty mangabey), 398 nucleotides. RefSeq lists it as uncharacterized. NCBI's taxonomy places the organism in Eukaryota, Metazoa, Chordata, Mammalia, Primates, Cercopithecidae. The transcript is spliced from 3 exons. The record is from RefSeq and is a predicted model, not a curated record.
GUGAAUCGCAGAGGAGAAAUCAUGAAUCUUUAUAGCCUUGUAUUAACAUGACUUCCUUUUGUUGAUAGAGUGAUUUAUUAGUCUCAAGACCUUUGAAAUGGCACAAGAAUUGCUUGAACAGAUUGUGGAGACAUCCACCCUUCUUUGGAGAUUUAAUCUUGCUUAUGCUGUUAAGCCCUAGCAGUUCUUUAACAUGGAAGGGGAUAUGACAUAUAAUUUCCACCUUUGAGAAUGGAGCUUGCAGGACUGGACAUUGCUCUCAGUGUCAGUGAGUGAGUGGAUCUUCAGGGGCAAUAACACUCGUGGAGCUGUCAUUUCCUAUAAUAUCAAUGCCUUCUGUAAUACCUCUUGAUGGACCUGCCUGAGACUAUUUACAGUUAACUUUUUUUUGGAGGUAG